CAGGACAUGGCUAAACAUAGCAAAAGCAUCUCACUUACACCGAGAAGAUAUCCGUGCAAACCGGAUUGCCCUGA
This 74-nucleotide transfer RNA is filed under the name Anthias woodsi (swallowtail bass). RNAcentral describes it as "tRNA-Val". It matches the Rfam family "tRNA". From Rfam's summary of the family: Transfer RNA (tRNA) molecules are approximately 80 nucleotides in length. Lineage: Eukaryota; Metazoa; Chordata; Actinopteri; Perciformes; Anthiadidae. The record is from RNAcentral.